RNAcentral lists this ribosomal RNA (250 nucleotides) under uncultured prokaryote. RNAcentral's name for it is "partial 16S ribosomal RNA". It matches the Rfam family "Bacterial small subunit ribosomal RNA", at positions 524 to 774 of the family's 1533-position model. The record is from RNAcentral.
UACGUAGGGGGCGAGCGUUAUCCGGAUUUAUUGGGUGUAAAGGGUGCGUAGGCGGUUUAUUAAGUUUAAGAUCAAAUACCGAGGCUUAACUUCGGUCAGUCUUAAAAACUGGUAGACUUGAGUACAGUAGAGGCAAGUGGAAUUUCUAGUGUAGCGGUUAAAUGCGUAGAUAUUAGAAGGAACACCAGUGGCGAAGGCGGCUUGCUGGGCUGUCACUGACGUUGAGGCUCGAAAGCGUGGGGAGCAAACA